UAAUAACUCUUUGCCUAGUUUUUGCUCCUGAAAAUUGUCCUCUAUCUGUAUGUAUUUUUCUGAAAGUUUUAUGGUUUUAUACUAAUGUAUGCAAUACAUUUUAAGUUAUUUUUUUUAAGAUGUGAAGUUCAGGUUGAGGUUCAUUACUUUUGGCUUAUGGAUGUCCAGUUGUUCCAGCAUCAUCUAUUGAAAAUGCUAUCAUUCUACCACUGAAUAGCUUUUGCACUUUUUCUGUUGGCUCCUGUUUAAAGAAAGUGUUCUCACUUCAAAUCUGAACGAUGAACAUCCCCUGGAAAUGGGCCUUCGAUUGAGAUAUUUUUCUGCAAAUUGCGCUACUUGCUCUACUGCUAUAAUGUUCAAAGUGAUAUGGACAAACAGUAAUUAAUGAAGCAGUUCUUUCUGAAAAGCAGGUAAAUCGUAGGACCCUGAAGUUAAUGUAAUUUUUCAGAACACUUGUAUCAGUAUUCUGGGAUCUACCCCAGUUAAAAUUCAUGGAACGAAGCUUUAUGCAAUUCAAAAUGCUUAAUAAAAAAAAGAAAGAGAAAAAGAGAGAAAGAAAAAAAGAAAGGAAGAAAAAGAAAGAAAAAGAAAGAAAGAAAGAAAGAAAAAAGAAAGAAAGAAAGAAAGAAAAGAGAGAGAAAGAAAAGAGAGAGAAAGAAGGAAAAUGAUGUGGUUAAAAAACAGGUAUUUGAAGCCAGCUGAGACUGAAGCUUAGCUGUUGUUUGGCAUUUUAAACAAUAAGAAUAAUGCAAAUUCUGCUUUCUGGAAAUACUUCACGGAAAAGAAUUGGUGGUUUAAUAAAAUAUUUUCCAGCUGCAACCUUUUUCACUUCUGGCCAUUAUUUACAGAUACCAGAAAUGGAAGUCAUGUAUUUAAAAUGAUAAUUUGUGAAGCUAAAACAUAAAAUGAAUACAAUUGAUCACAUGGUUAGGUUAAUUUAUACACCUAAACAAAUGACUUUUUAAAAUUCUCUCCAGCUUUAAUAUUCUGAGUUUUAGACUUUCUUAUAUUUUACCUUGCAACAUAAAGGUAAAAGAGAUUGGAUGCGUUUUGUAAAAUAUCACCGUUGGUAUAUUUGAAUAUUUUAUUUCUCAGUGUUAGAAUAUUUGAUUUGAGAAUUAAACUUCAGUAUCAAAAUAGGCAACAUUAAGUAAUGGGGCUAUGAAAAUGGGAUCUGCUCUCUUCCCAAACACGUGUUACCAAUGAGAAAAUCAAAAGAUUUUUUAAAGCAGCUUACCAGAUAAUGAUUGUUUUGCAGCUUAUUUUUUAAAUUGUAUUUUAAGCCAGGUUUGGAAACCGAUGCCUAGCUCAAAGGUAAUACCCAUGAGACCUAAUAUGCUCCAUUGAAAAAAAAGCUUAUGGCAUGAUCAAAUUGAAUUUCAUGAAGUUCAUCUACUAGCUUGUUGGCCUUUACUUCCAAAUCUGUUUUAUCAUAUGCACUAUAAAUUGAAAAGCAACAGGAAAAGUUAUGCUGAACAGCUGUCCUGCUAUUACAAAAAAAUUCUGGGAAUGAAGUUAACUAUGCCGUGUGAUUCCAUUUCUGUGCUGCUGAGAAAGGAGCUACAUGACAAGGCAAUUUCCUUUUACAGUAUUUAUGAGGACAGAUACACUUAUGGUGUGAAUCACGUCCUCUACACGUGUGUGCAGACAGUAGGGCAAUAGAGUCUAAACACCAACUUAGAGGGGUUACCAAAAGACCAGUGCUCUAAAAAACAAACAUUUAAAAAAACCUCUUUUUUCACCAAUAUACAUAAUUCCUUCCAGCGCCCCUAUCAUUUAUGCUUUUGGCUUGCAUCAUUUUAGGCCCUAAAAGAUCUUCAGUUGGAAAAACAUAAUAGCUUGUCUUUGUGGGGUAAAUUGCAUAUGGAGGAGCUGUUUCACACAUAUUAUCUCACAUGAUCCCCACACUGUGGUUUUAUAAAAGAAAAAAAGUGAAUUUCUUGGAGAUGACAAGACUGUCAAAAGCACAGGACUCAUGAAUUGAAUCAUGGGGCCAAAGUUUUCCCGUGCUGUUCUCCUGAUAGUGAAUAAGUCUCACGAGAUUUGAUGGUUUUAUAAAGGGCAGUUCCCCUGUACACACUCUCUUGCCUGCAACCAUGUAAGACAUGCGUUUGUUCCUUCUUCCCCUUCCACCAUGAUUGUGAGGCCUCCCCAGCCAUUUGGAACUGGAGUCCAUUAAACCUUUUUCUUUAUAAAUUACCCAGUCUUGUGUAUGUCUUUAUCAGCAGUGUGAGAACAGACUAGUACACUUAUUUAUGUAUUUUAUUCGUUUUGGAAUUAGAGUAAGGAAAAUUGUCGUAUAAUUUAGUUCUCCUUUUCACCCAGGUGUUAAAAAUAGCACCAAAUAAACAUUGACUUCUUUGUUUUGCCAGAUAUAUAAGAAAUUUCCC
RNAcentral lists this long non-coding RNA (2390 nucleotides) under Homo sapiens (human). RNAcentral describes it as "non-protein coding lnc-AKR1E2-9:1". Lineage: Eukaryota; Metazoa; Chordata; Mammalia; Primates; Hominidae. The record is from RNAcentral.